RNAcentral lists this ribosomal RNA (254 nucleotides) under uncultured bacterium. RNAcentral describes it as "partial 16S ribosomal RNA". It matches the Rfam family "Bacterial small subunit ribosomal RNA", at positions 524 to 776 of the family's 1533-position model. The record is from RNAcentral.
UACAGAGGUCCCAAGCGUUGUUCGGAUUCACUGGGCGUAAAGGGUGCGUAGGCGGUCGGGUAAGUCUGAUGUGAAAUCUCACAGCUUAACUGUGAAACUGCAUUGGAUACUAUCCGGCUUGAGGAAUGGAGGGGAGACUGGAAUACUGGUGUAGCAGUGAAAUGCGUAGAUAUCAAGUGGAACACCAGUAGGCGAAGGCGACUUACUGGGUCACACCUGACCGCUGAGGUACGAAAGCGUGGGGAGCAAACGGG